CGUAGGGUGCAAGCGUUGUCCGGAAUUAUUGGGCGUAAAGGGCUCGUAGGCGGUCUGUCGCGUCGGCUGUGAAAACUCGGGGCUCAACCCCGAGCCUGCAGUCGAUACGGGCAGACUAGAGUGUUGUAGGGGAGACUGGAAUUCCUGGUGUAGCGGUGAAAUGCGCAGAUAUCAGGAGGAACACCGGUGGCGAAGGCGGGCCUCUGGGCAGUAACUGACGCUGAGGAGCGAAAAGCGUGGGGGAGCGAAACAGGAUU
Molecule: ribosomal RNA, 257 nt
Filed under: uncultured bacterium
Lineage: Bacteria
Description: partial 16S ribosomal RNA
Rfam family: Bacterial small subunit ribosomal RNA
Source: RNAcentral